This 67-nucleotide transfer RNA is filed under the name Hydraena kodadai. RNAcentral's name for it is "transfer RNA-Leu". The record is from RNAcentral. Lineage: Eukaryota; Metazoa; Arthropoda; Insecta; Coleoptera; Hydraenidae.
AUAUUGUUAUUUUGGCAGAUUAGUGCAUUAAAUUUAGAAUUUAAUUAUGUUAUUUUACAAAUAAUAC